This is a long non-coding RNA of Gigantopelta aegis, 664 nucleotides long. RefSeq lists it as uncharacterized. The transcript is spliced from 2 exons. Lineage: Eukaryota; Metazoa; Mollusca; Gastropoda; Neomphalida; Peltospiridae. The record is from RefSeq and is a predicted model, not a curated record.
AAAUAUAUCUUUUCGAGUUUAUGUCAAAUGCUUACACUCCACCAAAAUGUGGCGCACCGUCAGAAGUCACUGAUAGUGUUCACUGAGGUGAAGGAUCUUUCUUCAAGAUAAAUGAAUGGGUCAAGUAAGUAUGACCGAUGAGAGCACGACACAAGACAAUUUCAUUCUUCCUGCACUGCCAAUAGGAGGACUGCCACUCUCCCAAGAAUGGCUUGAUAGCAUGAAGCUUGUUCGCAACUGCACCGUCCCAAACAUGUUGCCAAGUCGAAAAGAUAAAUUGGUUGAUACUAUCGUCGCUGAACUAAGAAAACCUCGUAUGUGCAGUUUUUGCGAUUUUCACUUUUUUAUUCUUUCAGAAGCAGAAAUCUGUUAUCUUUUUGUUGUCAAAACCGUGUACAUGUACAGGCAAUGGAAAGUAUGGAAAAUGUCAAAUAAGUAAAACACGUAUUUGAAAACCACUUGAUUAUUUUUAUCCUCAUCAUAUUUCAACCUUUUCUAUCGGGUAAAGGUAAUUUUUUAGUGACCAAAGUGUCUAUAUUGUAUAUAUGUACAUAUUAUGUAUUCAACUGGUAGUCAAGGAAACGCUAUCACACCAGAAAAGAAGUGUAGGCCCACCAGGUAUUUCCGUAUUUAAGGUCCAAGCUUAAAUACCAAAAAAAUACAA